GGGCAUUCCACCAGAUCCAACAAGUUGCUUAAGAUCCCAUCGUCUUUCCUUGUACCAUGAAGUGAAGAGCUUGAUGGAUUGGGCAAGAGCAAAGGCAAUAAGAGCAGACAUAAGAGGAUAAUUAGUGAAAAAUGAAGAUGACCCAACAGAGACCGUUGUUGUCAUGGUAGCUGUCAUCAUAUUUUCACUAAUUUCUUGAGUUUCAAAUCAAGAUUCAGAUUUCAAAGUUAUAAUCCAAGAUUUGGGAAUAAGAGGUGUUGUGAAUUCUGCUCCUUCUUCGUUUGCGUGUGACGAAAAUCGCUAUUUUGGGUUCACACAACGAACAAGCCAACCACAUGGUUUCAUCAAAGACUUGAAG
Molecule: unclassified non-coding RNA, 358 nt
Filed under: Hevea brasiliensis (rubber tree)
Lineage: Eukaryota; Viridiplantae; Streptophyta; Magnoliopsida; Malpighiales; Euphorbiaceae
Source: RNAcentral